CAGACUUUCAUACUUGCCUUGGUCCCUCCUCUCCCAAUUCUCAUCCCCACUGUGUCACGGGACUUAGCAGAGGCGGAGAGUUGGAGAGGAGGAGAUACAGUCCCGCAGAUCUCUCUCCUCCUCUACAAAUAAAGGGUUCUUUUUCCUAGCUCCCACCUGGAGGAGGGAGAAGCCCACGCUCAAUCCAGUCUAGCUUUGCUGGCCCCGCCAGCUCCACGUCUCUGGCUCUCGCUGCAUCCAGUCGCCUUGGCGUUGGCCGAGAUAGGGCUGGUGUUAGAUGCGAGGCCGGUAGAAGGAGGCCGGACGGAAUGUAUUUUGGUUUCCCCCAAUCUCUUGCUGACCGGGAAACACGAGUGGGCUCAGAAUGCUACGUAGCCCAAGUGGCCCGUAAAGGUUGAGAGCUCAGGGACCUUAAACGCCUUCCAUUUCGCCCAUUUUACAGGUAAGAAAAUUUAAGCUCGUAGUAAUAAGGUCGCAGCCAGACCCCAGUUGUCGGAAGUGAAAUUUCGGAUUUGGAAACUUUUCUAUGGGCUCCAGCCUCUUUCAAGAGGGCUCAGUUUUUAUGGAAGAGCAGGGAUGCAGAACAGCAGUAUUAUAAAGUCUGUGAGUUCAUACAUGUAAGGAGUUCCCGGCACCAAUACAGAGUUGCAGUCCAGUCUUAGAGAGUAGUCUGGGGAACUGAGAGGUUAAAAAAUACCCGGGUUUACACAGCCCUUCUGUAUCAGAAAGAGGACUUGAAGUCCGACCUGACUCCCAGGCCAGCUCUGAUCCACUCUUCUAUGCUGCCCACUCAUCUACUGUGGUGACGAAGGUGUCGGGGCUUAAUAAGGGAACAUGAACCCAGGUUUCCUGACUCUUGGCUUAUUUUCACUGCUACGGGGCUUUUUCUAGAGCCUAAUUCUGUUAGGGUAGCAUCUUUCCUUCCUUAAAGCUGGCUCUGUAGGCCACAGAAGAAAGUUGGUUUCUUGGGACUUUCCUGUAUCUGCUAAUAGAAAACUAGUUGAGAAUCUUCUGUGUUUUUAGUAGCUUGAAAGCACCCUCACCCCCACAAUAGGUGGGAAGUUACUGUUGUAGGACAGCUAUCGAUUAAAGCUUUUAUGGAUCUGGGCUUUGGGAGAUAGAUCAAUAGAUAUGAUCGAAAGAUAGGCACAGAAACACACAGAUAGAUGAUAGACAAGGGACAGUUAUUCAUUUGGGUCUGACUCUUUGUGACGCCAUUUGGAGUUUUCUUGGACCAAGAUGCUGGAGUGAGUUGCCAUUUCCUUCUCCAGUUCAUUUUAUAUAUGAGGAAAUUGAGGCAAACAGGGUUAACUGACUUGCCCAGGGUCAUACAGCUAGGAAGCAUCUGAGGCCAGAUUUGAAUUCAGGAAGAUGCAUCUUCCUGUUCAGCGCUCUAUCCACUGUGCCACCUAACUACUAGAUAGAUAGAUAGAUAGAUAGAUAGAUAGAUAGAUAGAUAGAAGAAAGAACAUUUUCUAUCUGUCUGUUUAUUUAGAACACUUAGUAGAUGUCAGGCACUGUGUUAAGUUCUAAGGAAAUAAAUAAAAACAAACAAGAUAGUCCCUAUCCA
Molecule: long non-coding RNA, 1570 nt
Organism: Phascolarctos cinereus (koala)
Lineage: Eukaryota; Metazoa; Chordata; Mammalia; Diprotodontia; Phascolarctidae
Source: Ensembl